RNAcentral lists this ribosomal RNA (497 nucleotides) under uncultured bacterium. RNAcentral describes it as "partial 16S ribosomal RNA". It matches the Rfam family "Bacterial small subunit ribosomal RNA", at positions 28 to 507 of the family's 1533-position model. The record is from RNAcentral.
GACGAACGCUGGCGGCGUGCCUAAUACAUGCAAGUAGAACGCUGAAGAGAGGAGCUUGCUCUUCUUGGAUGAGUUGCGAACGGGUGAGUAACGCGUAGGUAACCUGCCUUGUAGCGGGGGAUAACUAUUGGAAACGAUAGCUAAUACCGCAUAACAAUGGAUGACACAUGUCAUUUAUUUGAAAGGGGCAAUUGCUCCACUACAAGAUGGACCUGCGUUGUAUUAGCUAGUAGGUGAGGUAAUGGCUCACCUAGGCGACGAUACAUAGCCGACCUGAGAGGGUGAUCGGCCACGCUGGGACUGAGACACGGCCCAGACUACUACGGGAGGCAGCAGUAGGGAAUCUUCGGCAAUGGGGGCAACCCUGACCGAGCAACGCCGCGUGAGUGAAGAAGGUUUUCGGAUCGUAAAGCUCGGUUGUAAGUCAAGAACGGGUGUGAGAGUGGAAAGUUCACACUGUGACGGUAGCUUACCAGAAAGGGACGGCUAACUACGUG